CUCUGUUUCAGGCAGCACUAGCAGUGUGUAUGCUUCCAGCAUCCUCAGAUAUAAAGGAACCCCUUCUUCUCAUGGAAUGGAUAGAUUUAACAUAAGAGAAGGAGUGGAGAAACACCAUAUGGGCAGUAGCCCAUAGUCAGGGUAUGUCUGAGAAGAGAAACAGAUGAUGGCUAACUGACACCAUGAAGAGGAUGUGAAGCUGGUGGGUGCCUCCAAAGCUGCUGCUGGAACCUACUACACAAAGCACAGAGAGUUUGCUCAUUUCCUGUGAUGGAGAAAACCAGUAUAAAGGAUACACCAACCUCUGAACCUGGUGUUGGCUGAAAGAUGGGAGGAAUAUCUGGCUGUCACAGUUGACUAAUCUGAACAUCAGGAUGAAUGGGAGCUGGUGUAAGCUGGCCUUUCCAAUUAGUCCAAGAUAGAGGUACAAGAAAUGACCAUCAUCAUAGAAAGCACCAGGCUGAACAUGAUCAAAUUCUCUUCAGCUCCCAGAGGCCUCUCUUGCUGUUUGCUCUACUUUCCUGCCAGGGUC
This is a long non-coding RNA of Gallus gallus (chicken), 532 nucleotides long. The record is from Ensembl. NCBI's taxonomy places the organism in Eukaryota, Metazoa, Chordata, Aves, Galliformes, Phasianidae.